This is a non-coding RNA of Alligator sinensis (Chinese alligator), 516 nucleotides long. The record is from the annotation of a RefSeq genome assembly. NCBI's taxonomy places the organism in Eukaryota, Metazoa, Chordata, Crocodylia, Alligatoridae.
UAUCCUGCCCACUCCUGCCUGCUGGGAGGCUCAUUUCUUAUGACCCUCAGGAUGGAGAUGCCCCUGCUGCUCCUUGCCCUGUUCUCCUGUCUCACCUAUGCCGUCUCUGCAGUGACACUGGUGCAGUCUGGCCCAGGAGUGGCGAAGCCUGGAGAGACCCUCACCCUGACCUGCACGGUCUCUGGCGUCUCCAUCGCUGACAGCAGCUAUGAGUGGAACUGGAUCCGGCAGCCUGCUGAGAAAGGGCUGGAGUGGGUGGCGUAUAUACAUCCAUAUGGUGGGAGCACAUACUACAACCCAUCUCUCCAGAGCCAAACCACCAUCUCUGCAGACACAUCCAAAAACCAGCUCUCCUUGCAGCUGCGCUCCCUGGCAGCUGCAGAUACUGCCACAUAUUACUGUGCCAGGGAAACACACAGUGACACGGAGCAGGGCAGGGGCUGCACAACAAGGGGAAGCUAUUCUCUUACACACAUUUCAAGCCUUUUUGAGAGCAAAUUCCCUAUUAGAUCCUAA